UACGUAGGGUGCGAGCGUUGCCCGGAUUUAUUGGGCGUAAAGGGCGCGUAGGCGGCUCUGCACGUCCGUUGUGAAAUCGCCCGGCUCAACUGGGCGGGGUCAGCGGAUACGGCAGAGCUCGAGCAAGCUAGGGGGCAAUGGAAUUCCCGGUGUAGUGGUGGAAUGCGCAGAUAUCAGGAGGAACACCAAUAGCGAAGGCGGCUCGCUGGGACGGUACUGACGCUAAGGCGCGAAAGCGUGGGGAGCGAACAGG
This 253-nucleotide ribosomal RNA is filed under the name uncultured bacterium. Its description in RNAcentral is "partial 16S ribosomal RNA". It matches the Rfam family "Bacterial small subunit ribosomal RNA", at positions 524 to 776 of the family's 1533-position model. The record is from RNAcentral.